RNAcentral lists this ribosomal RNA (478 nucleotides) under uncultured bacterium. Its description in RNAcentral is "partial 16S ribosomal RNA". It matches the Rfam family "Bacterial small subunit ribosomal RNA", at positions 28 to 507 of the family's 1533-position model. The record is from RNAcentral.
GAUGAACGCUGGCGGCGUGCUUAACACAUGCAAGUCGAACGAGAAGUGAAGACGGAAACCUUCGGGCGGAAGGCUUUAUUUCGAGUGGCGGACGGGUGAGUAACGCGUGGGUAACCUGCCUCAUACAGGGGGAUAACAGUUGGAAACGACUGUUAAUACCGCAUAAGACCACAGCACCGCAUGGUGCGGGGGUAAAAACUCCGGUGGUAUGAGAUGGACCCGCGUUCGAUUAGCCAGUUGGCGGGGUAACGGCCCACCAAAGCGACGAUCGAUAGCCGAUCUGAGAGGAUGACCGGCCACAUUGGGACUGAGACACGGCCCAAACUCCUACGGGAGGCAGCAGUGGGGAAUAUUGCACAAUGGGGGAAACACUGAUGCAGCGACGCCGCGUGAGUGAAGAAGUAUUUCGGUAUGUAAAGCUCUAUCAGCAGGGAAGAAAAUGACGGUACCUGAGUAAGAAGCCCCGGCUAACUACGCG